Small nucleolar RNA from Myotis lucifugus (little brown bat), 146 nucleotides. Ensembl annotates it as small nucleolar RNA SNORA12. The record is from Ensembl. Lineage: Eukaryota; Metazoa; Chordata; Mammalia; Chiroptera; Vespertilionidae.
UGGGGUGUUAGUAUGCCCAUAAAAUGGUUAAGGAAAUUCAAAUGGGCCUGACUCUGCCACAUAUAUUCUAUAGGAGCUGGGAAAGGCUUGAUGACAAAGAGAUCUCUCUCUAGCCUUUCCCACAUCAGAGAUUGGCUCCCACAUGG